GAUAAACACUAGGGGUGCUUUUGCUGAGAGAGGCCGUUGCCUUAACCCUUGAACCUGCACUAGGUAAUGCUAGCGGAGGGAAGUGGACAUAUGGACGG
RNAcentral lists this non-coding RNA (98 nucleotides) under Sporosarcina sp. RNAcentral describes it as "TPP sequence". It matches the Rfam family "TPP riboswitch aptamer (THI element)". Rfam says of the family: Vitamin B(1) in its active form thiamin pyrophosphate (TPP) is an essential coenzyme that is synthesised by coupling of pyrimidine and thiazole moieties in bacteria. Lineage: Bacteria; Bacillati; Bacillota; Bacilli; Caryophanales; Caryophanaceae. The record is from RNAcentral.